AAUGGGGGCAACCCUGAUCCAGCCAUGCCGCGUGAGUGAAGAAGGCCUUCGGGUUGUAAAGCUCUUUUGGUCGGGAAGAAAGUGCUCUGCAUAAUACGUGGGGUAUUUGACGGUACCGGCAGAAUAAGCACCGGCUAACUACGUGCCAGCAGCCGCGGUAAUACGUAGGGUGCGAGCGUUAAUCGGAAUUACUGGGCGUAAAGCGUGCGCAGGCGGUUCGUUAAGUCUGAUGUGAAAGCCCCGGGCUCAACCUGGGAAUGGCAUUGGAAACUGGCGGGCUGGAGUAUGGCAGAGGGGGGUGGAAUUCCACGUGUAGCAGUGAAAUGCGUAGAGAUGUGGAGGAACACCGAUGGCGAAGGCAGCCCCCUGGGCCAAUACUGACGCUCAGGCACGAAAGCGUGGGGAGCAAA
This 410-nucleotide ribosomal RNA is filed under the name uncultured bacterium. Its description in RNAcentral is "bacterial SSU rRNA". It matches the Rfam family "Bacterial small subunit ribosomal RNA", at positions 370 to 772 of the family's 1533-position model. The record is from RNAcentral.